UGGGGAAUAUUGGACAAUGGGCGCAAGCCUGAUCCAGCCAUGCCGCGUGAGUGAUGAAGGCCCUAGUGUUGUAAAGCUCUUUCACCGGUGAAGAUAAUGACGGUAACCGGAGAAGAAGCCCCGGCUAACUUCGUGCCAGCAGCCGCGGUAAUACGAAGGGGGCUAGCGUUGUUCGGAUUUACUGGGCGUAAAGCGCACGUAGGCGGACUUUUAAGUCAGGGGUGAAAUCCCGGGGCUCAACCCCGGAACUGCCUUUGAUACUGGAAGUCUUGAGUAUGGUAGAGGUGAGUGGAAAUCCGAGUGUAGAGGUGAAAGUCGUAGAUAUUAGGAGGAACUCCAGUGGAGAAGGCGGCCCACUGGACCAAUACUGGCGCUGAGGUGCGAAAGCGUGGGGAGCAAACAGG
RNAcentral lists this ribosomal RNA (404 nucleotides) under Actinomycetes bacterium. Its description in RNAcentral is "Actinobacteria bacterium partial 16S ribosomal RNA". It matches the Rfam family "Bacterial small subunit ribosomal RNA", at positions 355 to 776 of the family's 1533-position model. Lineage: Bacteria; Bacillati; Actinomycetota; Actinomycetes. The record is from RNAcentral.